UUGAAAAGAACUUUGAAGAGAGAGUUCAAGAGUACGUGAAACCGUUCAGGGGUAAACCUAAGAAACCCAAAAGAUCGAACGGGGAGAUUCAUCGUCAGCGACGCUGGCUUCGCGUCGGUGGGCGAUGUCCCGCGGGGCCUCGCGGCUCGCGCGCGGGCACGCUGCCGUGCGUCGAUGUCCGGCGUUCGUCGUCGUGCACUUCUCCCCUAGUAGAACGUCGCGACCCGCUGGGUGUCGGUCUACGGCCCGGGUGCGGUGACUGACGCGUCGCCGGUAUAACGGCACGCGUCAAACCCCCGGUAGCCCGGCCGGCUGCCCGGCGGUACACGCAAGGUAUCAGGCCGCACACAACCGCCGACUCGCGCGCGCUACUUCACGGUGUGCGCGCGAGGAGGUCGAGCGAGUGCGUCGAGGCCGUCGCAAGCGCGCGCCACGGUACACGGAGGCUAACGGACCUAGCGCCGUCACCGGUCCUGGCCCGCUGUUGGUCGUACGGUUAACCUUCGACAGGCCUACGAACGUUCCCCGGCGGGAACGAAAGUCCCCGCCGGGGGACCGAUACCGGUCGGCGACGCUACUGCUUUGGGUACUCUUAGGACCCGUCUUGAAACACGGACCAAGGAGUCUAACAUGUACGCGAGUCAUUGGGACUAGCGAGAUACCUAAAGGCGCAAUGAAAGUGAAGGUCGGCCCUGGUUGUCGACCGAGGGAGGAUGGGCCGCGUCGCGAUGCGGCUCCGCACUCCCGGGGCGUCUCGUUCUCAUCGCGAGAAGAGGCGCACCCAGAGCGUACACGUUGGGACCCGAAAGAUGGUGAACUAUGCCUGGUCAGGACGAAGUCAGGGGAAACCCUGAUGGAGGUCCGUAGCGAUUCUGACGUGCAAAUCGAUCGUCGGAACUGGGUAUAGGGGCGAAAGACUAAUCGAACCAUCUAGUAGCUGGUUCCCUCCGAAGUUUCCCUCAGGAUAGCUGGCACUCGGCCGUUCCGCACGGAACGCGCGCGAGUCUCAUCUGGUAAAGCGAAUGAUUAGAGGCCUUGGGGCCGAAACGACCUCAACCUAUUCUCAAACUUUAAAUGGGUGAGAUCUCUGGCUUUCUUGAACUAUGAAGCCACGAGCAUCUCGGAUCAGAGUGCCAAGUGGGCCAUUUUUGGUAAGCAGAACUGGCGCUGUGGGAUGAACCAAACGCAGAGUUAAGGCGCCCAACUCGACGCUCAUGGGACACCAUGAAAGGCGUUGGUUGCUUAAGACAGCAGGACGGUGGCCAUGGAAGUCGGAAUCCGCUAAGGAGUGUGUAACAACUCACCUGCCGAAGCAACUAGCCCUGAAAAUGGAUGGCGCUGAAGCGUCGAGCCUAUACUCUGCCGUCAGCGGCAAGUGGGGCGGCCGUGCGUGCGCGUUAGCGCGCGUACGCGCCGCCACGAAGCCCUGACGAGUAGGAGGGUCGCGGCGGUGUGCGCAGAAGGGUCU
RNAcentral lists this ribosomal RNA (1468 nucleotides) under Gauromyrmex acanthinus. RNAcentral's name for it is "partial 28S ribosomal RNA". It matches the Rfam family "Eukaryotic large subunit ribosomal RNA", at positions 364 to 1413 of the family's 3401-position model. The record is from RNAcentral. Lineage: Eukaryota; Metazoa; Arthropoda; Insecta; Hymenoptera; Formicidae.